AGAUUCAUUUAGGAGUUCCUUAUCCCCGAGGAUGGCGGAGGCUUUGAUUUGUUCUAAAAAUUGGUAUACUUGUGAGUCUGAAGAGCCUGUUGUGCUUCGACAAUACAUGGAUGAGAUUGAUGGUUUAGAGGCAUGUGAACAAGUUUUUCCAGGUGAUGGCUCGUGUAUUACCUAUGUACCUGAGAAUCUUGGCAGUGGGUCUGGGAGUGGGACCGAUAAGAACAAUUGAAAUCUCAAGGAGCAGGUGGUCAUGGUUGCUUGAUGCAGGCCAUGAAAUGAAUGAAUGCUGGAUUUUGGAUUGGACUUUGUUUUCUAUCUAUUCUUUUGAAAUUUGAACUUGAUUUGUGUUGUUGUAGUCGAUUAGACUUAGAUUUAAUUUGUGUUGUAAUGGACUAUGGACUAUGGACUUUGGACUUUAAGUUUAAACUUUAAUCAUGUGUUGAGAUUUGUGGUUGUAGUCUUUUGGUUUUAAAUUUUAAUUGGGUUGUGUCUUGGAUUGAACUAAUAGAUAUUGGAGUAUUAGACUUUUGAUGA
Humulus lupulus (European hop) is the source of this 534-nucleotide long non-coding RNA. RefSeq lists it as uncharacterized. The record is from RefSeq and is a predicted model, not a curated record. NCBI's taxonomy places the organism in Eukaryota, Viridiplantae, Streptophyta, Magnoliopsida, Rosales, Cannabaceae. The transcript is spliced from 3 exons.